This 253-nucleotide ribosomal RNA is filed under the name uncultured bacterium. RNAcentral describes it as "partial 16S ribosomal RNA". It matches the Rfam family "Bacterial small subunit ribosomal RNA", at positions 524 to 776 of the family's 1533-position model. The record is from RNAcentral.
UACGUAGGAUGCUAGCGUUGUCCGGAUUUACUGGGCGUAAAGCGCGCGCAGGCGGCACUGUAAGUAAGGUGUGAAAUCUCCCUGCUCAGCGGGGAGGGUGCACUUUAGACUGCAGAGCUAGAGGACGGUAGAGGGGGGUGGAAUUGCUGGUGUAGCGGUGAAAUGCGUAGAGAUCAGCAGGAACACCCGUGGCGAAGGCGGCCCCCUGGGCCGAACCUGACGCUGAGGCGCGAAGGCUAGGGGAGCGAACGGG